CCUACGGGAGGCAACAGUGAGGAAUAUUGGUCAAUGGGCGAGAGCCUGAACCAGCCAAGUCGCGUGAGGGAGUACUGCCCUAUGGGUUGUAAACCUCUUUUGUCGGGGAGCAAAAGCCGGACGUGUCCGGCUGUGAGAGUACCCGAAGAAAAAGCAUCGGCUAACUCCGUUCCAGCAGCCGCGGUAAUACGGGGGAUGCGAGCGUUAUACGGAUUUAUUGGGUUUAAAGGGUGCGCAGGCGGAUUUUUAAGUCAGCGGUAAAAUCGUGGGGCUCAACCCCAUCCAGCCGUUGAAACUGGGGAUCUAGAGUGUGCGAGCGGUAUGCGGAAUGCGUGGUGUAGCGGUGAAAUGCAUAGAGAUCACGCAGAACCCCGAUUGCGAAGGCAGCAUACCGGUGCACAACUGACGCUCAGGCACGAAAGCGUGGGUAUCGAACAGGAUUAGAUACCCCAGUAGUC
Molecule: ribosomal RNA, 458 nt
Filed under: uncultured bacterium
Lineage: Bacteria
Description: partial 16S ribosomal RNA
Rfam family: Bacterial small subunit ribosomal RNA
Source: RNAcentral